RNAcentral lists this ribosomal RNA (409 nucleotides) under uncultured bacterium. RNAcentral's name for it is "bacterial SSU rRNA". It matches the Rfam family "Bacterial small subunit ribosomal RNA", at positions 509 to 916 of the family's 1533-position model. The record is from RNAcentral.
CAGCAGCCGCGGUAAUUCGAAGGUGGCAAGCGUUACUCGGAAUUACUAGGCGUAAAGCGCAGGUAGGCGGUUCGGAAAGUCUUUUGUGAAAGCUCCCGGCUUAACUGGGAGAGGCCAAGGGAUACUCCCGGACUCGAGUGUGGUAGAGGAUGCUGGAAUUCCCGGUGUAGCGGUGAAAUGCGUAGAGAUCGGGAGGAAUACCAAUGGCGAAAGCAGGCAUCUGGGCCAUCACUGACGCUGAGCUGCGAAAGCUAGGGGAGCAAACAGGAUUAGAUACCCUGGUAGUCCUAGCCCUAAACGAUGCUCAUUAGAUGUGGGGGGUAUCGACCCCUUCCGCGUCGAAGCUAACGCAUUAAAUGAGCCGCCUGGGGAGUACGGCCGCAAGGUUGAAACUUAAAGGAAUUGACGG